Molecule: non-coding RNA, 447 nt
Organism: Cricetulus griseus (Chinese hamster)
Lineage: Eukaryota; Metazoa; Chordata; Mammalia; Rodentia; Cricetidae
Source: RefSeq, a predicted model, not a curated record
UUCAGUGUCCCCUGAGAGAGCAGCCAGCUGGCAGCAGUGCAGAAAGCAGUAAACACAUUGACUUUCUCUAUUGGCAGUGCUACGUCCAUGACGUUCAAGAAGACUGGGUCUCUGUGUCGAGGUAGCAGAGCCACUGUGACUUUGCAUCAAGCUCAAGAGUAGGCCCGAUUCCUGCUGUUUGCUGUCUAUGUUGGCCUAAAGAACCCCGACUAAUCAGAUGGCAGCUGUAAUGGCUGAAGCAAGCACAGGACUCGGCACUCUCUGCACGUCCUUUUGAGUCCUCAGGCUCAGGCUGAACAUCACAUUUCUGCAUCCAGCUUAUGGAUCAAUACUGCACUGAUAGUUAAAUAACAAGUAUUUAUUGUGUAUUUAGUCUCGUCUGCAGUGGUGACGUAUUUCACAUGUUCAUUUAUUUAAUCAAUAAACACUUACUGGCUAUCUACCGAA